GUUCGCUUUGUUUGGCAAUUAGAGCAAACUUCGGUUCUCACAGAAUCCGACCGAGUGGAAUUUCGCAACGCGAGUUUCACAAGUCAAUUCCCUUGAAGCAAAACCGACGGUUUUCCCUGUGGUUUCACUCCACACCUCUGCGUUGGUUGCUGAACUUCCCCCUCGAGUUUCUCUUCCCACACACACCACUCUACUUCAGAGGCAGCCAUGGAGACGGUUUCGUCAGCCUUCCAGAGAAUCUGCAACCCGUGUCCUUGCCCACAGAUGUUGAAACAAAAGUCACAACCAAGGUUCUGGGCCUUUGUUUCUACGGCUCUAGAAAUCGGCAGCUUGCUUCACGUCGCAGAGUUGGAGUUCCAGUACUGAAUUCUGGGCCAGAGGUGCAGAUCCCUCCCUUCUUAGUCCACAUUCUUCAUUCCAUCCUGCUGUGGCGUGUAAGCAUGAGCAGGCUUGCCUGCCCCCACUCUGUUAGAAUGCUAAUCAAUUUGAGACCAAGGAGCAAUUCCUAUCUUUAUACCCUUAGAUACUGAACAUCGCACUGGCUACUGAACUGCGUUUUCUUGAUUGCGAGUGCUCGCACUCUGCCUUACCCCUACCUGCACCCACCCACCACAGACCACCACCCUCCCUUGGUGCGUUGCAUGUCCAAGAUGCUUGACAUAUGCUUCUGAAUGACUACGUGAAGGAAGCACCUCCCACAUUUGGUUAUCUCAAUGAGCACUGCUUGCCAUUUGAUUGGAACUAGACUCCCUAAUUCUUACGGUAGGUUCACCUGCCGCAUGUCCUCCCAUGGUCUGGGCUCCACCGCUACGUAGCUGUAUCACUCAGCAGUCACACAACCUCGCUUCACCUGCCUCACUCGCAUUUCUUCAUCUGUAAAAUGGGGAUAAAAUAGUACUUACCUCAUAGGGUCACAGCCAGGAUUAAAUGAGAGAAUCCACAAAAAGCCCUGAGAAGAGUGCCUAGCAAUACAUAGCAAAAUGCUCAGUAAAAAUUAGCUACUGUUAUUUUAAAC
RNAcentral lists this long non-coding RNA (1015 nucleotides) under Ursus maritimus (polar bear). Its description in RNAcentral is "lncRNA (ENSUMAG00000001662.1)". The record is from RNAcentral. Lineage: Eukaryota; Metazoa; Chordata; Mammalia; Carnivora; Ursidae.